Molecule: ribosomal RNA, 291 nt
Filed under: uncultured bacterium
Lineage: Bacteria
Description: partial 16S ribosomal RNA
Rfam family: Bacterial small subunit ribosomal RNA
Source: RNAcentral
UGCGUCCUACGGGGCGCAGCAGUGAGGAAUAUUGGUCAAUGGGCGCGAGCCUGAACCAGCCAAGUCGCGUGAGGGAGGACGGCCCUACGGGUUGUAAACCUCUUUUGCCGGGGAGCAACGGGCGUCACGUGUGGCGCCACUGAGAGUACCCGGAGAAAAAGCAUCGGCUAACUCCGUGCCAGCAGCCGCGGUAAUACGUAGGGGGCAAGCGUUAUCCGGAUUUACUGGGUGUAAAGGGGGCGCAGACGGCGAUGCAAGCCAGGAGUGAAAGCCCGGGGCCCAACCCCGGGA